This 432-nucleotide ribosomal RNA is filed under the name uncultured bacterium. RNAcentral describes it as "partial 16S ribosomal RNA". It matches the Rfam family "Bacterial small subunit ribosomal RNA", at positions 29 to 507 of the family's 1533-position model. The record is from RNAcentral.
GCGAACGCUGGCGGCAGGCCUAACACCUGCAAGUCGAACGAACUCUUCGGAGUUAGUGGCGGACGGGUGAGUAACACGUGGGAACGUGCCUUUAGGUUCGGAAUAACUCAGGGAAACUUGUGCUAAUACCGAAUGUGCCCUUCGGGGGAAAGAUUUAUCGCCUUUAGAGCGGCCCGCGUCUGAUUAGCUAGUUGGUGAGGUAAAGGCUCACCAAGGCGACGAUCAGUAGCUGGUCUGAGAGGAUGAUCAGCCACAUUGGGACUGAGACACGGCCCAAACUCCUACGGGAGGCAGCAGUGGGGAAUCUUGCGCAAUGGGCGAAAGCCUGACGCAGCCAUGCCGCGUGAAUGAUGAAGGUCUUAGGAUUGUAAAAUUCUUUCACCGGGGACGAUAAUGACGGUACCCGGAGAAGAAGCCCCGGCUAACUUCGUG